This 786-nucleotide long non-coding RNA is filed under the name Mytilus galloprovincialis (Mediterranean mussel). Lineage: Eukaryota; Metazoa; Mollusca; Bivalvia; Mytilida; Mytilidae. The record is from RNAcentral.
CCGAUUUUGGGGGUAUUUGUGUGCGUACAUUGUCAGAAAAACACAUUUCAAAUGAUUUUUUCCGAUUUUCUGAUCGCCUUGAUAUCUGCAAAAGAGACUUUUUAAGAACGUUAAUUAUAAUUCUAACGAAAAAUCGUAGCUUCUUUAUCAUUGUAUGUAACAGAUUAUCUACAAACUAAAUUCAAUCAGCGUACAGGAGGUUCAUGUCUAUCCUGUUACCGCUACUUAAAUCAGUCGUUAAAUUAUUCUCCCUAUGAAUAUUGAAUCAGUCAGUGUUGAUUUCAAAAAUGCAAAGUAAUCUUUACAUUUAAAACGCCUCGUUUCUUGAACGACAGUGUAGAGAAAAGAAAUUUCAAGACAUUUAGUGAAAAAAAUAGAGCGUACUUUUUUUCAUGUCUAUGCUGUUACCGACCAUUUUGAUUAAUUACACUAACAGUAUGGUUGUAAAAAGUGCAAUAACGUGUUGGAAACCAAAUUCACAAUAGAAAACCAUAAUCACUUCACCAAAGGGAGUAGUUAUUUCACAAACAGCAAUCAAAAACGAAGAAAUUUGUCUAUCCUGUUAUGUCUAUCCUGUUACUAUGGUUGCUAUGGUUACAGUAACAGGAUAGACAAUUAUAGACAAACACGUCGUUAAUUUUUUUAUCUUAACAUGUAGGUGGAAAACGAAUGAAAUAUUUCAUUGUUUGAACUCAUCUUAAGGUUAUAACGUCUUAAUCUUCCCAAUUAAGCAUUUGCAGGUGCAAUACUGAUAUCGGUAACAGGAUAGACAAAAAGGUAACAGGA